ACUUCCUCUUUCUGUUCUGACAUCAUCAAUCCACUUUGUAGUUUGCUGGAAUGAGUUAACAUUUGUGAUAUCGUAAACUACUACAGCUGCAGCAGAAUCACGGAUGUACCUGGGAAUGAGGCUACGGAGACGUUCCUGACCCGCCGUAUCCCACAGCCGAAGCCCGAUUGUUCCAUCCUCCAAGAACACCAGCUUGAAUUUCCUCAGCGGAUUCCCGAAGUCUCCGCCCGCGGACAUGGUGGAACUAGAGGAGCUGUCGCCGCCUCAGCCCAGAGACCUCCCGGACCGAUGCUCCUCCAGCCGGCUGACGAAAAAGGAAAUAGCAAUGUUUUUUGAGUAUGGCAAGUGUUUCCAAGCAUUCAGAAGUGGAGAGUGUAGGAUAUCCACUGCAAAAUGAGGUCUGCUUGUCAUCCUCUUAGUCUCCACUGCUAUCCCUCCCUCAUCUCUCUCUGUUUCAUUGAGACCAAAAGACUAGGAGCCUGGCUUCUAGUUUUCAAAAGAGCUAAGUGACUGACCUAGGCUGAUGACUCGCAAUCCUCGUUUUACAGUUGAACCACCUGAGGAGCUUUUUCAAAAUACACAUGUCUGGUUUCCAGACCCAGAGAUUCUGAUUGGAUGAGAAAACUGAUUUGGAGAGAUACUGAGUGAUUUGCCCAGGUCACAGCUGGUAGGUAGCCACGCUAGGAUUUAAAUCUGGUCUAUCUUGAAAACAUUUGAUCUGAAGCCAUACCAGUGCGUUUUACUCCAUGCAGCCAUCCGAAUCACAUGAGAAACAGUCUUAUAAUACUGUGCCCCAGAGAGUAGCCAGCCAGACUGGUUCUCAGGGACUAGUGUACCAUCCAAAAUACAUUUAUUAGAAAACAAGAAAGAAGAAAAAUAAACAAACCAUCCAAGAUAAGAAGCCAGAGAAAAGCAGCAAAAUAAAUCCAAUGAAAGUAAUGGAAGGUAUACAUUUUAAAAAACAAUAUAGAAGACAAUAACUCCCAUGAAACUGUAAGAUUAACAUUCUGGUGUUUAAAUUUUGUUUUUUCUUUUUUAGGCAUAAAGGCAACACAAGUGGUCAGGCUCAGCUACUCUGGUUCCUACAGACUUUCCCCUUUGGGAUAGCGUCUCUCACCAUCUUGACUGCUUACCAACAGAAGCGCCAAAACCAAACUUGAGGAUGUCCACAAGCUUGCUCUACACUUCUACAUUCAUCCUCAUCUUUUUUGUGUGUGUUUGUGGGGUAGGGGAGGUGCAGUGUUUACUCAGUGAUCUUUCUACUUUCUAGAAAGUGUCUGUCCUUCAAAACUAUUUAAGAGCCUCUCAUUAGUCAUUUUUUCUCUUAUAUGCUCUGGUUGAGCUUGAAUAGACCAGUUGUUGCUUAAGAAAGAAACUGAAAAGAUUUUAGCUUUUCAGUCCUAUUUGGCAGAGGACUUCAGCUACCUUCUUAUGGUCUUUGGCUGUGUUGGUGCCCUCAUGUGCUCUGGGCUAAGCCACAUACUAAAUUGACUUUUUGGUUUGUAUACCCUUGCUCUCGCCUUCUGAUGAAAACACCUUACCCUCACCACCACCAUCUUUGCUCUCCUUUCCCAAAACUCUUUCCGCCUUGCUGCACUAAGAUAGUGACACCUCCACCACACGUCAAUUCCACACACAUUUAUUAGGUACCUGUGAAGCAGGAUCUUAUCCUCUUAAACUUCCACUUCUCACACUAGAGAGAAAGAUAAGGAAGAUGAGCAAGUGCCUGGAAUGGGGCAGGCUGAGUGGUCACACAGGCACAGAGGCACACUGAGAACCUACAGGGGAGACUGCAGAGUGCCUUCCCUGAUGCUGCAGCUGGAAGUCAUCCUUCCCUCCACCUGGCCCCUGAGACACUCUACUCUGUAGUGUGCAGUCUGAUGGCACUGCUAGAUUUCUUUUUCAGCUCAGGGCCACAGCUUAAACAGCUUUACCUUUCCCCUCAGCACCUGUCCCACUACCUUGCACACAGGUACUCUAUCCGUGUUUAUUGAACAAAGGAGGGAAACUGAUUUCACUUUCACUUGUUCAUUAUCAUUCCAAUUUUUAUGUGAAAAUGGCACAACCCAUUUGGGGUACACUCAUCUCAAAAGAAAAGCCCAAGACUACCUCUGACUGGUACCACCUUUUUUGUGGGUUCCUUGGUGAGAAACCUUUAUCUUUUUCAUACUUUUCUAUUCUCCAUCACUUCUCCAAAAGUGUCUCUUUCCAGCUCUGAUUUAUUCAAAACACACAAACAUUCCUGUUUAGAGAUUCUAGCCCAUGGAUUAUCCGGCUAGUUAGUACCUCUCCUGUUCACUUGGUUAUACUUUAUUAUUGCUCAGAGGUUGGGGAGGCAGAAUGACUGUGUCCCCUCACCCUGGCAGAAUGACUGUGUCACCACUAGGAGCCAUUAGGGCUUCUUCCCAGGAGGACUGCCUGCUUGCUUUCUGGGGACUAGCCCUUAUUUCCCUUCUGUGGUCCAGUGGGGCAAGUGAUUUGUAUUAGACAAAUAUUUAUAAGAAACAACCCCCUCCCCAAAAUAGAGCCACCAAGUAAAGCACAAGCCUGAAAGAUGAUGAACUAUGAAUUGUCUCUAGUGGAUAUAAAUUUCUGCAAAUAUAUCUCAGUCUUUCUCUCUUUUCUCUGGUGAUUAAAAAGUUGGUUUUUGGUAAGGAAAAGGAUUUUUGACCAUAGAGUUAUGCAUCAUGGAAAUUCAAACCCGAUUUCUUAAUACCUGGUCUUCUCCGAAGAGAAAUAAUGAUAGUAAUAGUGGUGCUGGGAACAAUAUGGAAGAUUAUUGAAUGAAAUGGAUUAACUUGAAUAAAAUGCUGUGAAUUAUCUCUA
RNAcentral lists this long non-coding RNA (2826 nucleotides) under Homo sapiens (human). Its description in RNAcentral is "PREDICTED lncRNA (TCONS_00161316)". Lineage: Eukaryota; Metazoa; Chordata; Mammalia; Primates; Hominidae. The record is from RNAcentral.